This is a long non-coding RNA of Telopea speciosissima, 268 nucleotides long. RefSeq lists it as uncharacterized. The record is from RefSeq and is a predicted model, not a curated record. NCBI's taxonomy places the organism in Eukaryota, Viridiplantae, Streptophyta, Magnoliopsida, Proteales, Proteaceae. The transcript has 3 exons.
UUCAUCUAUCAUGAAUCACUUGUACAUCCACUCCUUCGCCACCCAAACAUGCAAAAGGACCCCCCAAGACAUAAAUGUCAUAUUGGGACCUUCUAAAUCAUCCAUUCAUCAAAACUUCCCAUAGAAUGCUGCCCACAUUGAAGAAUUUUCAGGGAGAUUCGAAAGUGGUUCCUAUGGCCAACCACUCUUGCCAAUACCAUCACCAAUUUCUCAGCAAUGGUUAUCCUAGGUCUUCGUGGUUGUAUGAUAAAAAAAUUUGUAUUAUAAA